RNAcentral lists this ribosomal RNA (883 nucleotides) under uncultured Bacillota bacterium. RNAcentral's name for it is "bacterial SSU rRNA". It matches the Rfam family "Bacterial small subunit ribosomal RNA", at positions 1 to 898 of the family's 1533-position model. The record is from RNAcentral. Lineage: Bacteria; Bacillati; Bacillota.
GGAUCCAGACUUUGAUUCUGGCUCAGGACGAACGCUGGCGGCGCGCCUAACACAUGCAAGUCGAACGAGCGAGAGAGAGCUUGCUUUCUCGAGCGAGUGGCGAACGGGUGAGUAACGCGUGAGGAACCUGCCUCAAAGAGGGGGACAACAGUUGGAAACGACUGCUAAUACCGCAUAAGCCCACGACCCGGCAUCGGGUAGAGGGAAAAGGAGCAAUCCGCUUUGAGAUGGCCUCGCGUCCGAUUAGCUAGUUGGUGAGGUAACGGCCCACCAAGGCGACGAUCGGUAGCCGGACUGAGAGGUUGAACGGCCACAUUGGGACUGAGACACGGCCCAGACUCCUACGGGAGGCAGCAGUGGGGAAUAUCGCACAAUGGGGGAAACCCUGAUGCAGCGACGCCGCGUGGAGGAAGAAGGUCUUCGGAUUGUAAACUCCUGUUGUUGAGGAAGAUAAUGACGGUACUCAACAAGGAAGUGACGGCUAACUACGUGCCAGCAGCCGCGGUAAAACGUAGGUCACAAGCGUUGUCCGGAAUUACUGGGUGUAAAGGGAGCGCAGGCGGGAAGACAAGUUGGAAGUGAAAUCCAUGGGCUCAACCCAUGAACUGCUUUCAAAACUGUUUUUCUUGAGUAGUGCAGAGGUAGGCGGAAUUCCCGGUGUAGCGGUGGAAUGCGUAGAUAUCGGGAGGAACACCAGUGGCGAAGGCGGCCUACUGGGCACCAACUGACGCUGAGGCUCGAAAGUGUGGGUAGCAAACAGGAUUAGAUACCCUGGUAGUCCACACUGUAAACGAUGAUUACUAGGUGUUGGAGGAUUGACCCCUUCAGUGCCGCAGUUAACACAAUAAGUAAUCCACCUGGGGAGUACGACCGCAAGGUUGCA